AUGGUGAAUGCAGCAUUAAUACAAUGACUAGCAAGUAGCUCAUACCAUGCAGCGACUCUACAUAAAUAACGGUAAACAAUAAUUAGUAAAAUAUAAUAAUAAAAUAUAAUAUAUUUUUUUAAAAAAAAUUAUCUCAAUCUUAUUUUUCCUCUUUAAAAAUAUAUUUAUUCAAUACAAAGUAGUUGGUACUUAACAAUGGUACAAUAAAUAGCUACAUACAUCAAGU
Molecule: long non-coding RNA, 226 nt
Filed under: Elaeis guineensis (African oil palm)
Lineage: Eukaryota; Viridiplantae; Streptophyta; Magnoliopsida; Arecales; Arecaceae
Description: long non-coding RNA (EGUI_LNC026032)
Source: RNAcentral